GAUUGACUGCAUCGCGUGUCGCCCUUUUCCGGUUGAUCCCGCCGGACCCGACUGCUAUCAGAAUAGGACUAAGCCAUGCGAGUCAACGUACACAUAGUAGCAAUACUAUAUGUUCGUGGCAUACGGCUCAGUAACACGUAGUCAACAUGCCCAGGGGACGUGGAUAACCUCGGGAAACUGAGGAUAAACCGCGAUAGGUCAUAAUGUCUGGAAUGAUUUAUGGCUGAAAUCUACAUGGCCUCUGGAUUGGACUGCGGCCGAUCAGGCUGUUGGUGAGGUAAUGGCCCACCAAACCUAAAACCGGUACGGGCUCUGAGAGGAGGAGCCCGGAGAUGGGCACUGAGACAAGGGCCCAGGCCCUAUGGGGCGCAGCAGGCGCGAAACCUCUGCAAUAGGCGAAAGCUUGACAGGGUUAUUCUGAGUGGUUUCCGCUAAGGAAAUCUUUUGGCACCUCUAAAAAUGGUGCAGAAUAAGGGGUGGGCAAGCCUGGUGUCAGCCGCCGCGGUAAUACCAGCACCCCGAGUGGUCGGGACGAUUAUUGGGCCUAAAGCAUCCGUAGCCGGUUCUGCAAGUCUUCCGUUAAAUCCACCUGCUCAACAGUUGGGCUGCGGAGGAUACUAUAGAGCUAGGAGGCGGGAGAGGCAAGCGGUACUUAGUGGGUAGGGGUAAAAUCCGUUGAUCCACUGAAGACCACCAGUGGCGAAGGCGGCUUGCCAGAACGCGCUCGACGGUGAGGGAUGAAAGCUGGGGGAGCAAACCGGAUUAGAUACCCGGGUAGUCCCAGCUGUAAACGAUGCAGACUCGGUGAUGAAUAAGCUUCGUGCUUAUUCAGUGCCGCAGGGAAGCCGUUAAGUCUGCCGCCUGGGGAGUACGGUCGCAAGACUGAAACUUAAAGGAAUUGGCGGGGGAGCACCACAAGGGGUGAAGCCUGCGGUUCAAUUGGAGUCAACGCCGGGAAUCUUACCGGGGGCGACAGCAGAAUGAAGGUCAAGCUGAAGACUUUACCAGACAAGCUGAGAGGAGGUGCAUGGCCGUCGCCAGCUCGUGCCGUGAGGUGUCCUGUUAAGUCAGGUAACGAGCGAGAUCCCUGCCUCUAGUUGCUACCAUUGCUCUCAGGAGUUAUGGGGCUAAUUAGAGGGACUGCCGUCGCUGAGACGGAGGAAGGAGGGGGCUACGGCAGGUCAGUAUGCCCCGAAACCCUCGGGCCACACGCGGGCUGCAAUGGUAAGGACAAUAAGUUCCUAGUCCGAAAGGAGGAGGUAAUCUCCAAACCUUACCUCAGUUAUGAUUGAGGGCUGAAACUCGCCCUCAUGAAUAUGGAAUCCCUAGUAACCGCGUGUCAUUAUCGCGCGGUGAAUACGUCCCUGCUCCUUGCACACACCGCCCGUCGCUUCAUCGAAGUUGGUUCUUGGCGAGGUGGUGUCUAAUUGGCACUAUCGAACCUGGGGUCAGCAACGAGGGAGAAGUCGUAACAAGGUAACCAAGGGCGACACGCGAUGCAGCGAGCCUCAGACACUG
Molecule: ribosomal RNA, 1518 nt
Filed under: uncultured archaeon
Lineage: Archaea
Description: bacterial SSU rRNA
Rfam family: Archaeal small subunit ribosomal RNA
Source: RNAcentral